Molecule: ribosomal RNA, 566 nt
Filed under: uncultured Actinomycetes bacterium
Lineage: Bacteria; Bacillati; Actinomycetota; Actinomycetes
Description: bacterial SSU rRNA
Rfam family: Bacterial small subunit ribosomal RNA
Source: RNAcentral
CCUACGGGAGGCAGCAGCAGGGAAUCUUGUCCAAUGGGCGAAAGCCUGAAGACGGCGACGCCGCGUGAGGGAUGAAGGCCUUCGGGUUGUAAACCUCUUUCAGGAGGGACGAAAUUGACGGUACCUCCAGAAGAAGCCCCGGCCAACUACGUGCCAGCAGCCGCGGUAAUACGUAGGGGGCAAGCGUUGUCCGGAUUUAUUGGGCGUAAAGAGCUCGUAGGCGGCUCAACAAGUCAGUCGUGAAAGCCCGGGGCUCAACCCCGGGAGGCCGAUUGAUACUGUUGUGGCUAGGGUUCGGUAGAGGAGAGUGGAAUUCCCGGUGUAGCGGUGGAAUGCGCAGAUAUCGGGAGGAACACCAAUAGCGAAGGCAGCUCUCUGGGCCGAUACCGACGCUGAGGAGCGAAAGCUAGGGGAGCAAACAGGAUUAGAUACCCUGGUAGUCCUAGCUGUAAACGUUGGGCACUAGGUGUGGCGGACUCAUUGACGUCUGCCGCGCCGUAGCUAACGCAUUAAGUGCCCCGCCUGGGGAGUACGGUCGCAAGGCUAAAACUCAAAGGAAUUGACGG